GGCAGUGGUUCAGACGGGGCUGGGGCGUAGCGGUCGAGGUACCGGCGAGAGGAAAAUGCAGCACUGCGGUCGCGGCGAGGGGGAAGCCAAAAGGGGGGAGAAAGGGAGAGCCAGGGCAGUGAGAAAAGGAAUGCAGCUCGCCUCAGCAGUGAGACGACGGCUUGGGAAGCAGAAAACUCUCCCGAGAAGGUGAGGGAGCCGCAGCUGCCUCCCGGCUGGGCUGGACUGCUUUCCCCCAUCCCUCUGGAUCUGCUGGCAGCUCCCGCCAGUCGAAAGUUACCUGCUCUGCAGCAGAAGCAGCCGUACAAUCUCUUGCUCCCGAAUUAAACACAACUCUUAAUGAUGUAGCAUUAUCAACAAGGGACACUUGAUUGACUGAUCUAGGUAUGAUAUAUGUGCUUGGCGUCUAAAUUAAAUAUUAAGUGAAAUACUUAGCUCU
This is a long non-coding RNA of Lonchura striata (white-rumped munia), 439 nucleotides long. RefSeq lists it as uncharacterized. The record is from RefSeq and is a predicted model, not a curated record. NCBI's taxonomy places the organism in Eukaryota, Metazoa, Chordata, Aves, Passeriformes, Estrildidae.